Molecule: long non-coding RNA, 565 nt
Organism: Portunus trituberculatus (swimming crab)
Lineage: Eukaryota; Metazoa; Arthropoda; Malacostraca; Decapoda; Portunidae
Exons: 2
Source: RefSeq, a predicted model, not a curated record
GGCUUAUUUGAGUGAUACAGCACACACUCCACAGUCCUUCCCACCGGAGCUAUACACCUGAGCCUUACCUGAGAUCAUUACCUCAGCCAGCCAUGAAGGUCGCAUUUUUCUUCGCCGGGCUCCUUGUCCUCGUGUUCGUCGCCUCGUCCUUUGGGGCUCCUGAGGUGUCAUCUCACGUUUCCUCCUCCUCGGGCCCCAGCCACCCACAUCCUCCCGUGCACAGGCCCAGACCUCACAGACCAGCGCACCGGCCCCGCCCCCACAGCAGCGGGUAUAGAGGUACAGCCACUGGGAAUGCAAACGUCAACCUUGGCGGUCCUCGUUACCACGGCUAGGGAGGCAGUGAGGGAGUCCUGAGUCUUCCUUUACUGCUGUCUUUCAUUUAUCUGUUGUCUCAUUAGCAUAUCAUUACUUCAUACGGAUAUAAAAAGAAGUCUUCAUUUCGUUGCUAUAUUUGUGUUAAACCUUAUUUCUUGUUUAUUAUUUGUCAUUGUUAACUGAAUACCUUGAUGCAACUCCAAAUUGUCCAAGAUUCCCAGCGUAAAAUUAAACCAUGAAAAUGCAA